Long non-coding RNA from Macrobrachium nipponense, 1373 nucleotides. RefSeq lists it as uncharacterized. NCBI's taxonomy places the organism in Eukaryota, Metazoa, Arthropoda, Malacostraca, Decapoda, Palaemonidae. The transcript has 3 exons. The record is from RefSeq and is a predicted model, not a curated record.
UAAGGUCUUCAGCCUUUACCUGUCUCUUUGGGGUCGCUGUUCUGUGUAAGCCUUCUCCAUCUUCUAUCUUGUCACUGGGAAUGAAUCCAUGGCAGAGGAGACUGAAGAGCAGAUUCUUCAAGACAGUAACAUAAUUUGAACAUUUAUCCUCCCUGAAUGUGUUUCAGCCCCUCUCUUCCCCAAGGAUGAGGAGAACCCCUUAGUAUGGAUCUUACGACUUGUAAGUCAAACCCCUGUACAGGUUAACACCGAUGAAGGCAUCGAUGCAUCCCUUUGCAAUACAACCAUACAAGAUGGAAAGACUGUUCUGCUAGUAAGCUGAUAACAAGGGAAUUUAUGUGCAGGCCUGAGCCAUAUUUACUCCAACCAUCAUCUCCCACCAUCAUAUCACAAACUCGGCCCGACAUCCAUACAAUCAACAGUUGAUUAUGACUGAAAUAGAAAAAUGUUUGGAACGAGUUGUACUUUCACAAUCGGGGAUAUUAAAAUCUUAACCUCAUUUGACUAUGAAAACCAAUAGAAUUUAAUUUAUAUUAAUUUGCAAGUGUCAGCUCAUCAGGGUCAUAACAGUACCUGUUGGCCCAAAGUUUAGUACAUAAGAGUUCAGCGUUCUUUAUAGUUUUUUGAGUGGGAACUACAGGAGUCUUUAUCAUACCAAUUAGUUGUCUAACAUUGUUUCAUCUACAAUUAUUUUGUUGAUGUCAGAUAUUAGGUGUAAUGUAAUACCUUGGGUUACGUAAUACUAAACAGGUUUCUUAUUAAUGUCAUAUCAGCUACUAGGCAGCCAUCUUUAUGUAAAUAUAUUAUGUCGAGAAGUUGGGUAUAUUUAAGGAGAGAGUUUUCCAUGAGCUAGCUUUAAAAUUACUCGGCAGGUUUUGCCUAGAUCUCUGCCCUUUGAUUUGCAGUAUUUAUAUACAUACUAGGUUUUUCAAUGCAUACUUGCUUGGGUACAAAGGUUACGUGAGAUUAAUACUAAUGUGAUGCUUAUUAUCUCCAGUAAUUUUAUGAAAUUUGUAAACAAUGGAAAGCCAAAACUUCAUUAAUGACAAAGAAUAGGUAACUUUGAUUUUAUUAAAAAUAUUCGUGGUAGUCAGUAUAAUUGAAAAUAGCAGUAUGGAGUAAAAAGUGUCAAGUAUUAACUUUUACAGAAAGGGUGAUAUUUGUUGUAAAUAAUACAAAUUUCUUUAUAUUUUUUCCAGUCCGUAUUAUAGAUAGUUAAGCUAGCUUCCAUCACAAUAGGGACUUGUAAGUUUUUUUGCAGCCUUUAUCCAUCUUUUGUUCCAUUAGAAUUAAAUUCUUAAUGGCUUCUUGGUCUUACGUAAUUGCUAUAUAUGAACGAUGGAACCUUGACUUUCAAGCUUAUAUAGGUACUA